CAGUAGCCGCGGGAAUACGUAGGGUGCAAGCGUUAAUCGGAAUUACUGGGCGUAAAGCGUGCGCAGGCGGUUUGUUAAGACAGAUGUGAAAUCCCCGGGCUUAACCUGGGAACUGCAUUUGUGACUGGCAAGCUAGAGUAUGGCAGAGGGGGGUGGAAUUCCGCGUGUAGCAGUGAAAUGCGUAGAUAUGCGGAGGAACACCGAUGGCGAAGGCAGCCCCCUGGGCCAAUACUGACGCUCAUGCACGAAAGCGUGGGGAGCAAACAGGAUUAGAUACCCCAGUAGUCCCUGUCUCUUAUAC
This 301-nucleotide ribosomal RNA is filed under the name uncultured bacterium. RNAcentral describes it as "partial 16S ribosomal RNA". It matches the Rfam family "Bacterial small subunit ribosomal RNA", at positions 509 to 807 of the family's 1533-position model. The record is from RNAcentral.